This is a long non-coding RNA of Mauremys reevesii (Reeves's turtle), 392 nucleotides long. RefSeq lists it as uncharacterized. NCBI's taxonomy places the organism in Eukaryota, Metazoa, Chordata, Testudines, Geoemydidae. The transcript is spliced from 3 exons. The record is from RefSeq and is a predicted model, not a curated record.
CAGACCCCUUUUACCGAGUGCCCGAACUCUCCAAGCUGCACAGACCAGGAGAAGUUACGUGUCGUGGGAGGAGAGGACGGAUGCUCGGGGAGAGUGGAGGUUUGGUACCGUGGCUCCUGGGGAACAGUUUGUGAUGACUCCUGGGACAUGGCGGAUGCUAACGUUGUGUGUAAACUACUGGGCUGUGGAUCUGCUGUAUCUGCCCCGGACAAGGCUGCAUUCGGCGAGGGGACUGGUCCCAUCUGGGUGGAGAAAUUGAAUUGCCGAGGGACAGAGUCAUCUCUCUGGGACUGUCCUGCCAAGCCCUGGGGUGAGAGCAACUGUGGUCAUAAGGAAGAUGCUGCUGUGAAUUGCUCAGCUCCCCAGCGCCGCCCUCAGACUGACAGUGGGAG